Molecule: ribosomal RNA, 273 nt
Filed under: uncultured bacterium
Lineage: Bacteria
Description: partial 16S ribosomal RNA
Rfam family: Bacterial small subunit ribosomal RNA
Source: RNAcentral
AAUGGCGGUUAACANAGGGAAGCAAAGUCGCGAGGCAGAGCAAAACCCGAAAAAGCCGUCUCAGUUCGGAUUGCAGGCUGAAACCCGCCUGCAUGAAGUUGGAAUUGCUAGUAAUCGUGGAUCAGCAUGCCACGGUGAAUACGUUCCCGGGCCUUGUACACACCGCCCGUCACACCACGAGAGUCGGGAACACCCGAAGUCCGUAGUCUAACCGUAAGGAGGGCGCGGCCGAAGGUGGGUCUGGUAAUUGGGGUGAAGUCGUAACAAGGUACC